This 770-nucleotide ribosomal RNA is filed under the name Phellia gausapata. RNAcentral's name for it is "eukaryotic LSU rRNA". It matches the Rfam family "Eukaryotic large subunit ribosomal RNA", at positions 148 to 740 of the family's 3401-position model. The record is from RNAcentral. Lineage: Eukaryota; Metazoa; Cnidaria; Anthozoa; Actiniaria; Sagartiidae.
GUUUCUAGAAGCACUUUCUAGGCGGGUCCGGGGCCGUCCAAGUUGCUUGGAACAGCACGUCAUAGAGGGUGACAACCCCGUCUGUGGCGGAACCGGCCGCUGACGAUGUGCUUUCGACGAGUCGGGUUGUUUGGGAAUGCAGCCCAAAAUGGGUGGUAAACUCCAUCUAAAGCUAAAUAUUGGCACGAGACCGAUAGCGAACAAGUACCGUGAGGGAAAGAUGAAAAGCACUUUGAAAAGAGAGUUAAACAGUACGUGAAACCGUUAAAAGGGAAACGGAUGGGGUCAGCAAUGCGCUCCGCGAGAUUCAGCCGAGCGGUGCGUCGGGCGGGUGGUUUGCGGAUCUGAAUGGACCGCGGCCGCUCGGAUCGGCGUUCCKACCGUCGCACUUCUCGCGAGUGCGCGCCAGCGUCGGUUGGCACUGGGUCUGAAAGGCGCGGGCAAGGUAGGCCGCCCCCCUCGGGGGGCGGUCGUUAUAGGCCUGCGUCGCAUGGCUCGGGGCCGACCGAGGAGUCGCGGCGCGCGCCUCCCCUCGGGGUUGGCUGGGGUCUUGUCUCGCCGAUUGGUAGUCGAAUGCGGUGGACUGCGUGCAGUGCACUGCGACCGCUGUCGGUCGCCGGGACGGUGACUUCGCACCACGCGCCAAGGACGCUGGCGAUCAAAUGGCCUCAUUCGWCCCGUCUUGAAACACGGACCCAGGAGUCUAACAUGUGCGCCAGUCUUCGAGUGAAGGAAGCUCGCGGGCGCAAUGAAAGUGAAGGUGGCCUCGU